GUAUGCCUUUUACCAUGAGAAGUGUUCUCAGAUAGGGGCAUGAAAAUAGAGAGGGGGCGAGCUUCUGUGCAUGUGUAACAAAGGAAAAAUACUUCCUCUUGGGCAUAAGUUCUAGGGUAGGUACUCUAGGGUUUCAUCUCUAAGGUUUUGUGAGAAGCAAAGAAAAGAGAAUCUUUCCUAUUCUUCUUUCACCAUCUAGUGUUCCUCCUCUUGUUCUAUCUUUAGAUCCGAAAGAGUCUGGGUGAAUCGAAGGAAGGAGCGAAAUCAGCCUUUCAAUGCCUUUCUUACGAGCUAGCACUUCCAGGGAGGCGGAUCAGAUUGGGGCUUCUAGUGGACAUCUUGUAGAGGUUUGAUAUUCUGUAUAGCUAUUCAGUAUCAGAAAGAACUUGAUACUAUAUUCAUUAG
This 405-nucleotide long non-coding RNA is filed under the name Elaeis guineensis (African oil palm). Its description in RNAcentral is "long non-coding RNA (EGUI_LNC061029)". The record is from RNAcentral. Lineage: Eukaryota; Viridiplantae; Streptophyta; Magnoliopsida; Arecales; Arecaceae.